This 433-nucleotide ribosomal RNA is filed under the name uncultured bacterium. RNAcentral's name for it is "partial 16S ribosomal RNA". It matches the Rfam family "Bacterial small subunit ribosomal RNA", at positions 29 to 507 of the family's 1533-position model. The record is from RNAcentral.
AACGAACGCUGGCGGCAUGCCUAACACAUGCAAGUCGAACGAGACCUUCGGGUCUAGUGGCGCACGGGUGCGUAACGCGUGGGAACCUGCACUUAGGUUCGGAAUAACUCCCCGAAAGGGGUGCUAAUACCGGAUAAUGUCUUCGGACCAAAGAUUUAUCGCCUUUGGAUGGGCCCGCGUUGGAUUAGCUAGUUGGUAGGGUAAAAGCCUACCAAGGCGACGAUCCAUAGCUGGUCUGAGAGGAUGAUCAGCCACACUGGGACUGGGACACGGCCCAGACUCCUACGGGAGGCAGCAGUGGGGAAUAGUGGACAAUGGGCGAAAGCCUGAUCCAGCAAUGCCGCGUGAGUGAUGAAGGCCUUAGGGUUGUAAAGCUCUUUUACCCGGGAUGAUAAUGACAGUACCGGGAGAAUAAGCUCCGGCUAACUCCGUG